UCCCUGGUCGUCCAGUGACUCAAACACUGUGCUCCCAAUGCAGGAGACCUGGGUUCGAUCCCUAGUCAGGGAA
This 73-nucleotide transfer RNA is filed under the name Bos taurus (domestic cattle). It matches the Rfam family "tRNA". From Rfam's summary of the family: Transfer RNA (tRNA) molecules are approximately 80 nucleotides in length. Their secondary structure includes four short double-helical elements and three loops (D, anti-codon, and T loops). Lineage: Eukaryota; Metazoa; Chordata; Mammalia; Artiodactyla; Bovidae. RNAcentral also lists the same sequence under 5 other names. The record is from Rfam by way of RNAcentral.